UCCCCGAUGGUCUAGUGGUCAUGAGUAAGUCCUCACCUCAUCUUCGAUAUCCGAGGAUUUGAUGAUUAACAUAUAUACCUAGUUUCCGCUUGUCAUUAUAAUAACGAGCGCGGGAGACCAGGGUUCGAUUCCCUGUCGAGGAG
This is a non-coding RNA of Vermiconidia calcicola, 143 nucleotides long. Lineage: Eukaryota; Fungi; Ascomycota; Dothideomycetes; Mycosphaerellales; Extremaceae. The record is from the annotation of a GenBank genome assembly.